This is a non-coding RNA of Triticum urartu, 538 nucleotides long. Lineage: Eukaryota; Viridiplantae; Streptophyta; Magnoliopsida; Poales; Poaceae. The record is from RefSeq and is a predicted model, not a curated record.
GAUGGUUGAUACAUGUCUACACAUUUUUCCAGAGCAAUUUGUAGUGGAAGAAGUACCCUCAGACUGAUAAGAAGGCAACGGUUAUUUCUAUGAAGUAACGGUUAUUGUUGUAGAUCAAGGAUGACAAGAAGGCAACUAAUGUACCAGGUGCAGGUAAUCAGCAACCUAGUACGCAUGGAUGUGAUGACUUUGAAGUGUUCUGGAGCAUUUGGCUGUCCGUAGUAUUUUGGACCAGCCAACUUAAUUGUAAUCCUGAAUCUUAUGUGUUUUGUGGACCAUUUGGUGCUCAAGUGUUAUGGAGUAGAAAUCUUGUGCUCAUGGAUGUUACUCAAUUAUUUGGACCAUUUAGUUUUUGAAGUAUUUUAGAUCAGCGAGUAGGGGUCCUUUAUGUGACUUGUGUUUUCUGGAUGGUUGCCAAGAUGGCCAAACUUUGCUUUUGUGUAGAUUGACUUGUGCUUGAACCUGCAAACAGUGUGUGUGUGUGUGUGUGUAAUUUUGUUACCAUUUUAUCAAUGAUUGUGCAAUGUGUUCAUCUUGA